Molecule: ribosomal RNA, 483 nt
Filed under: Salmonella enterica subsp. enterica serovar Berta
Lineage: Bacteria; Pseudomonadati; Pseudomonadota; Gammaproteobacteria; Enterobacterales; Enterobacteriaceae
Also listed under: 3 other names
Description: bacterial SSU rRNA
Rfam family: Bacterial small subunit ribosomal RNA
Source: RNAcentral
CAAGGCGACGAUCCCUAGCUGGUCUGAGAGGAUGACCAGCCACACUGGAACUGAGACACGGUCCAGACUCCUACGGGAGGCAGCAGUGGGGAAUAUUGCACAAUGGGCGCAAGCCUGAUGCAGCCAUGCCGCGUGUAUGAAGAAGGCCUUCGGGUUGUAAAGUACUUUCAGCGGGGAGGAAGGUGUUGUGGUUAAUAACCGCAGCAAUUGACGUUACCCGCAGAAGAAGCACCGGCUAACUCCGUGCCAGCAGCCGCGGUAAUACGGAGGGUGCAAGCGUUAAUCGGAAUUACUGGGCGUAAAGCGCACGCAGGCGGUCUGUCAAGUCGGAUGUGAAAUCCCCGGGCUCAACCUGGGAACUGCAUUCGAAACUGGCAGGCUUGAGUCUUGUAGAGGGGGGUAGAAUUCCAGGUGUAGCGGUGAAAUGCGUAGAGAUCUGGAGGAAUACCGGUGGCGAAGGCGGCCCCCUGGACAAAGACUGAC